Molecule: ribosomal RNA, 497 nt
Filed under: uncultured bacterium
Lineage: Bacteria
Description: partial 16S ribosomal RNA
Rfam family: Bacterial small subunit ribosomal RNA
Source: RNAcentral
AUUGAACGCUGGCGGCGUGCCUAAUACAUGCAAGUCGAGCGGACGAACGAAGCUCUUUCCUGUCUUCCGCUACCGGCGGACGAGUGAGUAACACGAGUCUACCCUGCCUAUAAGACUGACGUCACUUCGGGAAACCUGAUCUCAUAUCCGAUCAUAUGUUGAACCGCAUGGUUCAUUAGUCCUAGACCUUUUUGCUGUCCCUUAUAGAUGGAACCGCGCCGCAUUAGCUAGUUGGUAAGGUAACGGCUUACCAAGGCGACGAUGCGUAGCCGACCUGAGAGGGUGAUCGGCCACACUGGAACUGAGACACGGUCCAGACUCCUACGGGAGGCAGCAGUAGGGAAUAUUCGGCAAUGGGCGAAAGCCUGAUGGAGCAACGCCGCGUGAGUGAAGAAGGUCUUCGGAUUGUAAAGCUCUGUUAUUAGGGAAGAACAAAUGUGUAAGUAACUAUGCACGUCUUGACGGUACCAAAUCAGAAAGCCACGGCUAACUACGUG